GCCCAGUAGUGGGGGAUAGCCCGGCGAAAGCCGGAUUAAUACCGCAUACGACCUGAGGGUGAAAGCGGGGGACCGAAAGGCCUCGCGCUAUUGGAGCGGCCGAUGUCAGAUUAGGUAGUUGGUGGGGUAAAGGCCUACCAAGCCUGCGAUCUGUAGCUGGUCUGAGAGGACGACCAGCCACACUGGGACUGAGACACGGCCCAGACUCCUACGGGAGGCAGCAGUGGGGAAUUUUGGACAAUGGGCGCAAGCCUGAUCCAGCCAUGCCGCGUGCGGGAAGAAGGCCUUCGGGUUGUAAACCGCUUUUGUCGGGGAAGAAACGCUCUGGGCUAAUACCCUGGGGUAAUGACGGUACCCGAAGAAUAAGCACCGGCUAACUACGUGCCAGCAGCCGCGGUAAUACGUAGGGUGCAAGCGUUAAUCCGAAUUACUGGGCGUAAAGCGUGCGCAGGCGGUUGUGCAAGACAGAUGUGAAAUCCCCGGGCUUAACCUGGGAACUGCAUUUGUGACUGCACGGCUGGAGUGCGGCAGAGGGGGAUGGAAUUCCGCGUGUAGCAGUGAAAUGCGUAGAUAUGCGGAGGAACACCGAUGGCGAA
RNAcentral lists this ribosomal RNA (596 nucleotides) under uncultured bacterium. RNAcentral's name for it is "bacterial SSU rRNA". It matches the Rfam family "Bacterial small subunit ribosomal RNA", at positions 128 to 719 of the family's 1533-position model. The record is from RNAcentral.